RNAcentral lists this ribosomal RNA (1492 nucleotides) under uncultured [Caedibacter] sp. RNAcentral describes it as "bacterial SSU rRNA". It matches the Rfam family "Bacterial small subunit ribosomal RNA". The record is from RNAcentral. Lineage: Bacteria; Pseudomonadati; Pseudomonadota; Alphaproteobacteria; Holosporales.
AGGGUUUGAUUAUGGCUCAGAUUGAACGCUGGUGGUAUGCCUAACACAUGCAAGUCGAACGGAGUAAUAAUUUGCUUGCAAAUUAUUACUUAGUGGCGGACGGGUGAGUAACGCGUAGGAAUCUGCCUUAUGGUGGGGGACAACAGUUGGAAACGGCUGCUAAUACCGCAUAUUAUUUUCGAAUAAAAGGUGCCCCGCACCUAAAUAGUGCAUUGCUAUCUGUUAAAGAUAGAUAGUUUUUAGUGUUUUGAAGACGAAUAAUAUUUUGUUUAGAGAUGCAGUGUAUUAUUUAGGUGCGGGGUGUCGCCAUAAGAUGAGCCUGCGUUGGAUUAGCUAGUUGGUGGGGUAAGGGCUUACCAAGGCGGUGAUCCAUAGCUGUUCUGAGAGGAAGAUCAGCCACACUGGGACUGAGACACGGCCCAGACUCUUACGGGAGGCAGCAGUGGGGAAUAUUGGACAAUGGGGGCAACCCUGAUCCAGCAAUACCAUGUGUGUGAAGAAGGCCUUAGGGUUGUAAAGCACUUUAGUUUGUGAGGAAGGUUAUUGGGUUAAGAGCUAGAUAAUUUGACGUUAGCAAAAGAAUAAGCACCGGCUAACUCCGUGCCAGCAGCCGCGGUAAUACGGAGGGUGCGAGCGUUAAUCGGAAUUACUGGGCGUAAAGGGUUCGUAGGUGGUGAGAUAAGUCAGAUGUGAAAGCCCUGGGCUUAACCUGGGAGUUGCAUAUGAAACUGUUUGACUAGAGUUUGGUAGAGGAUUGGGGAAUUUCCAGUGUAGCGGUGAAAUGCGUAGAGAUUGGGAAGAACAUCGAUGGCGAAGGCAACAAUCUGGACUGAACUGACACUGAGGGACGAAAGCGUGGGUAGCAAACAGGAUUAGAUACCCUGGUAGUCCACGCUGUAAACGAUGAGUACUAGCUGUUGGUCCUGGUGUAAAAGGAUUAGUGGCGCAGCUAACGCGCUAAGUACUCCGCCUGGGGACUACGGCCGCAAGGUUAAAACUCAAAGGAAUUGACGGGGACCCGCACAAGCGGUGGAGCAUGUGGUUUAAUUCGAUGCAACGCGAAGAACCUUACCUACCCUUGACAUCCUAAGAAGACGAAAGAGUUUUUGUUGUGCCUUCGGGAACUUAGAGACAGGUGCUGCAUGGCUGUCGUCAGCUCGUGUUGUGAGAUGUUGGGUUAAGUCCCGCGACGAGCGCAACCCUUAUGUUUAGUUGCCAUCAUUAAGUUGGGCACUCUAAAGAGACUGCCGCUGAUAAGGCGGAGGAAGGUGGGGACGACGUCAAGUCAUCAUGGCCCUUACGGGUAGGGCUACACACGUGCUACAAUGGGCAUUACAGAGGGCAGCGAAGGGGUGACCUGGAGCGAAACCCAGAAAGGUGUUCGUAGUCCGGAUUGAUCUCUGCAACUCGAGAUCAUGAAGUCGGAAUCGCUAGUAAUCGCGAAUCAGAAUGUCGCGGUGAAUACGUUCCCGGGUCUUGUACACACCGCCCG